This 378-nucleotide unclassified non-coding RNA is filed under the name uncultured Pseudomonadaceae bacterium. RNAcentral's name for it is "contains 16S-23S intergenic spacer region". The record is from RNAcentral. Lineage: Bacteria; Pseudomonadati; Pseudomonadota; Gammaproteobacteria; Pseudomonadales; Pseudomonadaceae.
UCCGAGUUGACCCCGGCAGUCUCCUACGAGUCCCCGGCAUAAUCCGCUGGCAACAUAGGACAAGGGUUGCGCUCGUUGCGGGACUUAACCCAACAUCUCACGACACGAGCUGUCGACAGCCAUGCAGCACCUGUCUCAAUGUUACCGAAGGCACCAAUCCAUCUCUGGAAAGUUCAUUGGAUGUCAAGGCCUGGUAAGGUUCUUCGCGUUGCUUCGAAUUAAACCACAUGCUCCACCGCUUGUGCGGGCCCCCGUCAAUUCAUUUGAGUUUUAACCUUGCGGCCGUACUCCCCAGGCGGAUGACUUAAUGCGUUAGCUGCGCCACCGAAAGCCUAAGGCCCCCGACAGCUAGUCAUCAUCGUUUACGGCGUGGACUAC